ACCACCCCGAGCACCAUGUUCAACCCGACGGAGAAACCCUGCCCGGGCCGCGGUGCUGGGGAACAAGGGCCGCUCCGGGUCCCCAAUGGCCGCACCGCAGCGACAGCGCCGUCCUCUCCCGCAGACAACGCCGGAGGCGUCGUGCGGGGCCGGGCCGCGGCACCGACACCAGCGACGGCGGGACCCCUGCCUCAGGGAGGCUUCCCCCUCCGUGAGGCGGCGCCACCGACCGCCAGAGCCUCUCCCUGCCCAGCGGCAGCGGGGCCCACGCACAGACCGGCGGACCGGGAGUCCCUCGGGCUCCAAUGCCGCCUCGUGGAAGAGGGGCUUCCGCGCCGAGCCCCCGCGGGUCCGCCGGCAGCCGCGGGGCUCCGCGCUGCGCGGCUUACCGCAGGUGCCGAGCGCGGGCCGCCAGGGGGCGCCGGAGUGCGCCUGUCCCCGCGGCGGCGGCGGCGGGUGAGUGUGGCCGAGCCGCCCCCGCCAGCCCCCCGCCCCGCCGCCAGCGCUCGGCGGCAGCCAGACCGCCGCGGCACCGCACGGCUGCGCUCUGCUCCGCUCCGCCAGCGGCAGCGGGCCGCCGACAGGACGAGGAUGCUGCGCCUCAGCCGCGGGCGCGGGGCCGGCCGCCCUCGCCGCUGGCAGCGGCCGUGCCCGCUGCUCCUCUUGUCAGCGCUGCUCGGGGCGCCGGCGCUGGUGGCGUUCAACCUGGACGAGGAGAAGCUGACGGUGUACAGCGGGCCCCCGGGCAGCUACUUCGGGUACUCGGUGGACUUCUACAUCCCCGACCCCAGCACGGUCAGUGUCCUGGUGGGAGCUCCUAAAGCAAACACCACGCAGCCGGACAUCGUGGAAGGAGGAGCGGUGUACUACUGCGCCUGGCCCGCCGCCCGCUGCAGGCAGAUUCCCUUUGACAACACCAACAACAGGAAAAUUAAAGUCAAUGGCACCAGGGAACCUAUUGAGUUUAAGACGAAUCAGUGGUUUGGGGCAACAGUCAAAGCUCAUAAAGAAAAAGUUGUGGCUUGUGCUCCCCUAUAUCAUUGGAGAACUCUUAAAGAUACCCCUGAGAAGGACCCUGUUGGCACCUGCUAUGUAGCAAUUCAGAACUUCAGUGCCUAUGCUGAAUAUUCACCUUGUCGCAACAGCAAUGCAGAUCCUGAAGGACAAGGCUUUUGUCAAGCAGGUUUCAGCUUAGAUUUUUACAAGAAUGGAGACCUGAUAGUAGGCGGGCCUGGUAGUUUUUAUUGGCAAGGUCAGGUGAUCACUGCAAGUAUUGCGGACAUCAUUGCAAAUUAUUCUUUCAAGGAUAUUCUGAGGAAACUGGCACGAGAGAAGCAAACAGGAGUGGCACCACCCUCAUAUGAUGACAAUUACAUGGGAUACUCAGUGGCUGCUGGGGAAUUUACUGGAGAUUCUGAACAAGAGCUGGUUGCUGGUGUCCCAAAGGGAGCACAGAACUUUGGCUAUGUCUCAAUUAUUAAUUCUUCAGACCUGACAUUUAUCCAGAACUUCACUGGUGAACAGAUGGCGUCUUAUUUUGGUUACACUGUGGCAGUAUCUGAUGUUAACAAUGAUGGUUUAGAUGAUAUCCUAGUUGGCGCCCCUCUCUUUAUGGAACGAGAAUUUGAAAGCAAACCUAAAGAAGUUGGGCAAGUUUAUCUAUACCUGCAAGAAAGUGCUUUCCUCUUCCGAGAUGCGCAAAUUCUGACAGGCACUGAAGUGUUCGGUAGAUUUGGCAGUGCAAUCACGCACCUUGGAGAUCUCAAUCAAGAUGGAUAUAACGACAUUGCUAUUGGCGCACCAUUUGCAGGAGAAGACAGAAGAGGGAAAGUGUUCAUUUACAAUGGAUACAGUAAUGGGUUAAACCCUAACCCUUCCCAGGUUCUCAAUGGAGCCUGGGCCUCACAGUCCAUGCCCUCAGGAUUUGGCUUCACUCUAAGAGGAGACUCAGAUGUAGACAAGAAUGAUUACCCAGAUUUAAUUGUAGGUGCAUUUGGAGCUGGAAAAGCAGUUGUUUAUAGAGCCAGACCUGUUGUGACAGUGAAUGCUCAGCUCAUUCUGAACCCCAUGAUUGUGAAUCCAGACAAUAAAACUUGUCAGCUCCCUGGCUCUCAGCUUUUGGUGGCCUGCUUUACUGUAAGAGUCUGCGCAGACUUUGAAGGUCAAAGUAUUUCAUAUGAGAUAGUGCUGAAAGGUGAAUUGCAAUUAGAUUCAUUGAAACAGAAAGGAGCUGUCAAGAGGACCCUCUUAUUUGAUUAUCACCAGUCACAUCAUUACUUCUCCAUUGUGAUGGAAAGACAGAAACAGCUCCAUUGCCAGGACUUUCUUGUUUAUCUCAGAGAUGAAACAGAAUUUAGAGAUAAAUUAUCUCCCAUCAGUAUAAACUUGAAUUAUAGUUUGGAUGAAUCCAGUUUUGAAGACAGCUUGACUGUGAAGCCAAUAUUGAACUAUUACCAGAAAAGCUCGUUAACAGAACAGGCUUACAUUCUGGUUGACUGUGGGGAGGACAACUUGUGCAUUCCUGACUUGCAGCUUUCUGCUAUGCCAGAUAAAGAUCAGCUAAUAAUUGGAGAAGAAAACUUUGUCAUGCUCAUAAUAAAUCCAAGGAACGAUGGGGAAGGAGCCUAUGAAGCUGAGCUACAUAUAAGGAUUCCGCCUGAAGCAGAUUACACUGGGGUUGAACGCAACAACAAGGCACUGCGUGUACUGAGCUGUGAUUACAAGAUGGAAAAUGAAACUAGAUUGGUGGUUUGUGAUCUUGGGAACCCCAUGGUGGCUGGCGCAAACUUUUCUACAGGCAUUCGCUUUUCUGUUCAGCAUUUUGAAAAUGCAGAUUUCAGCAUCAAUUUUGAGCUGCAAAUAAAAAGUUCUAACAAGAUUAAUCCCACUAGCAACUUAGUAAACCUCCAUAUCAACAUCAGCGCUAUGGCUCAAGUACAGAUCAGAGGAGUGUCUCACCCCCCAACAAUUAUUUUGCCGCUUCACAACUGGGAACCCAAAGAUGAACCUACAAAAGAAGAAGAAGUUGGUCCUUUAGUAGAACACAUUUAUGAGUUUCAGCUACUAUUUUCAGCUGCACAAUAUAGGACCAAGUGCCAUCAACAAUACAGUUCUCCAUGUCGGUUGGCCUGUGUCCAGUCGAGAAGAAUUUCUUCUUUACGUUCUUCAUAUUCAGACACAUGGACCAUUGCACUGUCAAACGAGCUCUCCUAUUAAUAUAAUGCAAAUAAAGUUUGCUGUUCCACAAGACACUCCUGAACUUGCUGCUUUUUUAUAUAAUUCCACAAUUUCUCAUUACAUCAAGAGAAGGGAUGUCACACUGGCAGAACCUCACAGGAAAAAUACUGCAAAAAUAUUGAACUGUACAAAUGUGAAGUGUGUCUUCAUUUCCUGCACUGUGGGACAACUGGAAAGAGGGAAGAGCGCAGCGCUAAAAAUCAGAUCCCGGCUAUGGGCCCAAACAUUUCUGGAGAGAAAGAACGAUCUCUAUACUCUUUCUUCCAAUGUGUCCUUCGAAGUUAAGAGCAUGCCAUAUAAAGUGCAACCAGCAAAGCUCCCCAAAGAAAGCAUAGCAAUCAGAACAUCUGUCAUUUGGUCCACUCCAAAUGUCUCCUUUGUAAUCCCUUUAUGGGUUAUAAUUCUAGCAAUACUUCUUGGACUACUGGUACUAGCAAUGUUGACCCUAGCUUUAUGGAAGUGUGGCUUCUUUGACAGAGCUAGACCUCCUCAAGAUGACAUGGCUGACAGGGAACAGCUGACAAAUAACAAGACUACUGAUGCAUAGAGGAAGAGAGUGACAGUUCAAGUCAGAAUCCUGCCUGAGACUAGAAACAUGAUGAGGAUUAAAUGAAGGCUUCUUUCCACCAGUCUUCCUUUGUACCUGCAAGUGACGUGGUGUCGUAAACUGAUCUAUGCAACGUUCUGAGAACAUGCCACAUGAUGGCCAUCCUUGCCAAAGAGAGCAGCUUUAUCACUGCCUUACAAACAUACUCACCACUAAACAGAAUGUUUAUCCCAAAUUCCAGUCUACAUUUCAGCAGAUGCUUUUGAACACGUGUGGUAUACUGAGAUGCUUCCAGAACAAGCCCACAUCUCCCAAGGAGAGAACACCUCCAUUGCUGUAUUGUCUAGAAGAUGGACCAGGACAAAACUUCUGAACGCUACUGUAUCAUGCAGAAUACCUUUGACACCUCCCUAAGAAUAAGAACUUUUAUGAAAUUAUGUCUCAGGGAGACAAGCAAUAUAUCAGUACUGUGAAAGUACUUCUGAAAAACAAAGGUAGUCUAUGAAGAACUUUAUAGAUAGGACACAAUAAUUUAUUUUUCCACCUUUUCAGGAUAAGUAUCUGAUAUAAUCAUCAACUUAGAUUUUGAGACAAGAAAGUAAAAAAAUAGAAGUCAUGUACUUACCUUGCCUGUAAAUAGAAAAGUAAGCCCAUUGUACACACAGAACACAUCUUUCUUGGCUAUAAAAUGUUUUGCAAAGUAGAAGAUUUAUGCAGCAUUUUACAAGAUAAGACAUAUGAUAAACAAGUUCAUGUUGUAUCUCUUUCAACCCAAAGCUGGCAGUAUCACACCCAGAUGAAUAAAUCCGUGCACAGUGUAGCACAGGGGGAGAGUUGUCCCCUCAUUGCUGAUGGCUGACAUCUGUGCAGAUGGCAUGGGAUACAGCCCCUUGUGAAACACUGAUUUAAAUUAUCACAGCCACACUGUUAAUCUUAAGAAGGCUUGGGGGUUUUGGGCUAGGAUAAAUUUUCUUUGUUACUAUGUUGAAAUGGCCUCUUAAAAUGUAAUGGCUACUGCCAUUGUAUCUUCUGUUUAAUGUGUGUGGUAGACCCUAAUGCUUUGUUCAUCUAAAGAAAUCAUUGCUCUUUUUUUUUUUCUUUUAUUUUACAGCCUACAAGCUGCCAGCCUAUUUAAAGUGUUUGUUUCAACAAAGUUUAGGGCUGAAUGUAAUUAUUUCUUAAGCAAAGCCUUGCACGGAAGGUGGGCUGUAUUUGUAUUUAUGCAGAAAAACAUUAUGCUAGAAGGCCAAACAUGAACAAAAAGAAGAAAAGUUAUUUUGAGGUAAAGAGCAAAAAUAUACAUUUAGGAUUUAUUUUUUUUUCUGGACUGAGGAUUCCGAAGGAAGAGAGGCUUCAUUCUUUCUCUUCCAUCAGCAAAUGAUCCUUAUCUCAGCAGAGGCUCUAAGCUCUGAUCUGCGCAAAUUUGUGCCAGAAAGCUUGAGUCUUAGAGUGCUAAGAGUGUGGAACUAUGUACAUUGUGUAAACUUCAGGAGGGAUUGUUCAUUUUCUGAAACAAACACCACACUUUCUUUUCCUGAGUUGCUUUUCUUUCCAAUCCAUCUCAGCUUCUUAAUUGGCAAAUGGGCUCAUCCAUUCUGCCACUGCUUGGCUGCCUUUAGAUAGCUGCCCUUCUGCUUCCCAACACUUGGGGACAGGACUAACCAUGAGACAUUGUCCCUUCUGUCAGUCUGGCAGGACAUUUUACAGUUUUACCAUUUCUUGCAUGCAGUCUGAGCUGUGAAAUUGAAGUGGGAUCUAGGGAACUUGGGAAGAUGUGUUCCAUGUUAAUAUCUAAAGCAAAUUUGCAAGAAGACCAUUAUGGAUUCUUUAGCUUUAGGAGUGUCUGCUGCUGAUAAAUAGCACCACAAAGCAAGCCCGUCCCACAUUUGCGCACCUCUGUAUCCCAUACAUUCCUAGCAAAAUCAUUCUCUCAUAAAAAAACAGUGAGCUUCUAGCUUUUGUAAAUAUUGAAUUGUUGUGUGUAGCAGCUUCUCAAAUAAGAUCAGCUAGCUCAUUGCAGUCACAUCAUCUGCACAGCUCCUACUCUGAUGCAAUAGCACCAUAAGAAGAUACUGAACAUAGGACUUUUAUAUGUGCAAUACUUUAUAUUACUUAUAUACCUGAAGCAUGUUUACACUGGCAUUUGUGGUUGUUUUUUGAACUUUUGAAUAUACUGAUUAAUGAUUACAAUAAAGAACAAAGAAUAGGAAAAAGAAAGAAAAAAAAACCAAA
Columba livia (rock pigeon) is the source of this 6016-nucleotide RNA transcript. It is a transcript of the gene named integrin subunit alpha 8, with no coding region annotated. The transcript is spliced from 31 exons. Lineage: Eukaryota; Metazoa; Chordata; Aves; Columbiformes; Columbidae. The record is from RefSeq and is a predicted model, not a curated record.